GCUGCAUUUUUGGGCUGGCUAACUCCUGUCAUUCCUAUUUCUUUAACCACACAGUACAGAGACUCACCUUUCAGUUUGCUGAACUGAAAUGACUUGCUGAGGGCCAUGAUCCAAUUUGUGUUGAAGUCAAUGGAAGUCACUCCAAUUAUUUCAACUGGAUCAACAGGAUCUGCAAAGACACCCAGGGCUUGAAGGCUCAUGAUUCUGCUCGGAAGUCCAUUGACACAAGUUUGAUGAACCUCUCCCAG
Long non-coding RNA from Lepidothrix coronata (blue-crowned manakin), 248 nucleotides. RefSeq lists it as uncharacterized. Lineage: Eukaryota; Metazoa; Chordata; Aves; Passeriformes; Pipridae. The transcript is spliced from 3 exons. The record is from RefSeq and is a predicted model, not a curated record.